Molecule: ribosomal RNA, 520 nt
Filed under: uncultured Glomus
Lineage: Eukaryota; Fungi; Glomeromycota; Glomeromycetes; Glomerales; Glomeraceae
Description: SSU rRNA
Rfam family: Eukaryotic small subunit ribosomal RNA
Source: RNAcentral
AGCAGCCGCGGUAAUUCCAGCUCCAAUAGCGUAUAUUAAAGUUGCUGCAGUUAAAAAGCUCGUAGUUGAAUUUCGGGACCAAUAUGUCGGUCGUGCCUCGGUACGUACUGGCAUCGUUGGUUUCUCCCUUCUGACGAACCAUGAUGUCAUUUAUUUGGUGUCGUGGGGAAUCAGGACUGUUACUUUGAAAAAAUUAGAGUGUUUAAAGCAGGCUCACGCUUGAAUACAUUAGCAUGGAAUAAUGAAAUAGGACGUUUGAUUCUAUUUUGUUGGUUUCUAGGAUCGACGUAAUGAUUAAUAGGGAUAGUUGGGGGCAUUAGUAUUCAAUUGUCAGAGGUGAAAUUCUUGGAUUUAUUGAAGACUAACUACUGCGAAAGCAUUUGCCAAGGAUGUUUUCAUUAAUCAAGAACGAAAGUUAGGGGAUCGAAGACGAUCAGAUACCGUCGUAGUCUUAACCAUAAACUAUGCCGACUAGGGAUCGGAUGAUGUUAAUUUUUUAAUGUACUCAUUCGGCGUACCC